RNAcentral lists this ribosomal RNA (515 nucleotides) under bacterium. Its description in RNAcentral is "bacterial SSU rRNA". It matches the Rfam family "Bacterial small subunit ribosomal RNA", at positions 84 to 597 of the family's 1533-position model. The record is from RNAcentral.
UUUCCAUGAGAGUGGCGCACGGGUGCGUAACACGUAUGUAACCUACCUUGUUCAGGGGGAUAGCCUCUCGAAAGAGAGAUUAAGACCGCAUAACAUUGCAAUGUGGCAUCACAAAGCAAUCAAAUAUUUAUAGGAACAAGAUGGGCAUGCGGAACAUUAGCUAGUUGGUAAGGUAACGGCUUACCAAGGCUACGAUGUUUAGGGGAUCUGAGAGGAUGACCCCCCACACUGGUACUGAGACACGGACCAGACUCCUACGGGAGGCAGCAGUAAGGAAUAUUGGUCAAUGGGCGCAAGCCUGAACCAGCCAUGCCGCGUGCAGGAAGACGGCCCUACGGGUUGUAAACUGCUUUUAUACGGGAAUAAACCUUGAUACGUGUAUCAAGCUGAAUGUACUGUAAGAAUAAGGAUCGGCUAACUCCGUGCCAGCAGCCGCGGUAAUACGGAGGAUCCAAGCGUUAUCCGGAUUUAUUGGGUUUAAAGGGUGCGUAGGUGGUUCUUUAAGUCAGGGGUGA